RNAcentral lists this ribosomal RNA (1442 nucleotides) under Staphylococcus aureus VET0468R. Its description in RNAcentral is "bacterial SSU rRNA". It matches the Rfam family "Bacterial small subunit ribosomal RNA". The record is from RNAcentral. Lineage: Bacteria; Bacillati; Bacillota; Bacilli; Caryophanales; Staphylococcaceae.
AGAGUUUGAUCCUGGCUCAGGAUGAACGCUGGCGGCGUGCCUAAUACAUGCAAGUCGAGCGAACGGACGAGAAGCUUGCUUCUCUGAUGUUAGCGGCGGACGGGUGAGUAACACGUGGAUAACCUACCUAUAAGACUGGGAUAACUUCGGGAAACCGGAGCUAAUACCGGAUAAUAUUUUGAACCGCAUGGUUCAAAAGUGAAAGACGGUCUUGCUGUCACUUAUAGAUGGAUCCGCGCUGCAUUAGCUAGUUGGUAAGGUAACGGCUUACCAAGGCAACGAUGCAUAGCCGACCUGAGAGGGUGAUCGGCCACACUGGAACUGAGACACGGUCCAGACUCCUACGGGAGGCAGCAGUAGGGAAUCUUCCGCAAUGGGCGAAAGCCUGACGGAGCAACGCCGCGUGAGUGAUGAAGGUCUUCGGAUCGUAAAACUCUGUUAUUAGGGAAGAACAUAUGUGUAAGUAACUGUGCACAUCUUGACGGUACCUAAUCAGAAAGCCACGGCUAACUACGUGCCAGCAGCCGCGGUAAUACGUAGGUGGCAAGCGUUAUCCGGAAUUAUUGGGCGUAAAGCGCGCGUAGGCGGUUUUUUAAGUCUGAUGUGAAAGCCCACGGCUCAACCGUGGAGGGUCAUUGGAAACUGGAAAACUUGAGUGCAGAAGAGGAAAGUGGAAUUCCAUGUGUAGCGGUGAAAUGCGCAGAGAUAUGGAGGAACACCAGUGGCGAAGGCGACUUUCUGGUCUGUAACUGACGCUGAUGUGCGAAAGCGUGGGGAUCAAACAGGAUUAGAUACCCUGGUAGUCCACGCCGUAAACGAUGAGUGCUAAGUGUUAGGGGGUUUCCGCCCCUUAGUGCUGCAGCUAACGCAUUAAGCACUCCGCCUGGGGAGUACGACCGCAAGGUUGAAACUCAAAGGAAUUGACGGGGACCCGCACAAGCGGUGGAGCAUGUGGUUUAAUUCGAAGCAACGCGAAGAACCUUACCAAAUCUUGACAUCCUUUGACAACUCUAGAGAUAGAGCCUUCCCCUUCGGGGGACAAAGUGACAGGUGGUGCAUGGUUGUCGUCAGCUCGUGUCGUGAGAUGUUGGGUUAAGUCCCGCAACGAGCGCAACCCUUAAGCUUAGUUGCCAUCAUUAAGUUGGGCACUCUAAGUUGACUGCCGGUGACAAACCGGAGGAAGGUGGGGAUGACGUCAAAUCAUCAUGCCCCUUAUGAUUUGGGCUACACACGUGCUACAAUGGACAAUACAAAGGGCAGCGAAACCGCGAGGUCAAGCAAAUCCCAUAAAGUUGUUCUCAGUUCGGAUUGUAGUCUGCAACUCGACUACAUGAAGCUGGAAUCGCUAGUAAUCGUAGAUCAGCAUGCUACGGUGAAUACGUUCCCGGGUCUUGUACACACCGCCCGUCACACCACGAGAGUUUGUAACACCCGAAGCCGGU